Molecule: ribosomal RNA, 216 nt
Filed under: Glomeromycotina sp.
Lineage: Eukaryota; Fungi; Glomeromycota
Description: partial small subunit ribosomal RNA
Rfam family: Eukaryotic small subunit ribosomal RNA (bases 40-216)
Source: RNAcentral
GGGUCAGUAGGUUGGUCGUGCCACCGGUACGUACUGGUCUCACUUAUUCCUCCUUCCUGAAGAACCGUAAUGCCACUAAUUUGGUGUUGCGGGGAAACAGGACUGUUACUUUGAAAAAAUUAGAGUGUUUAAAGCAAGCUAACGCUUGAAUACAUUAGCAUGGAGUAAUGAAAUAGGACGAUCGAUCCUAUUUUGUUGGUUUCUAGGAUUGACGUA